RNAcentral lists this transfer RNA (111 nucleotides) under Plectosphaerella cucumerina. It matches the Rfam family "tRNA". Rfam says of the family: Transfer RNA (tRNA) molecules are approximately 80 nucleotides in length. Their secondary structure includes four short double-helical elements and three loops (D, anti-codon, and T loops). Further hydrogen bonds mediate the characteristic L-shaped molecular structure. tRNAs have two regions of fundamental functional importance: the anti-codon, which is responsible for specific mRNA codon recognition, and the 3' end, to which the tRNAs corresponding amino acid is attached (by aminoacyl-tRNA synthetases). tRNAs cope with the degeneracy of the genetic code in two manners: having more than one tRNA (with a specific anti-codon) for a particular amino acid; and 'wobble' base-pairing, i.e. permitting non-standard base-pairing at the 3rd anti-codon position. Lineage: Eukaryota; Fungi; Ascomycota; Sordariomycetes; Glomerellales; Plectosphaerellaceae. The record is from Rfam by way of RNAcentral.
GGCAAGGUGGCCGAGUGGUUAAGGCGAUAGACUCGAAUCACCCCCAGUUCUCUGGGUAACUUCGGCUAUCUAUUGGGUUCGCCCGCGUAGGUUCAAAUCCUGCCCUUGUCG